GGAGGAAAAGAAACCAACAGGGAUUGCCUCAGUAGCGGCGAGUGAAGCGGCAAAAGCUCAAAUUUGAAAUCUGGCGUCUUUGGCGUCCGAGUUGUAAUUUGAAGAAGGUAUCUUUGGGCCCGGCUCUUGUCUAUGUUCCUUGGAACAGGACGUCACAGAGGGUGAGAAUCCCGUGCGAUGAGAUGACCCGGGUCUGUGUAAAGUUCCUUCGACGAGUCGAGUUGUUUGGGAAUGCAGCUCUAAGUGGGUGGUAAAUUCCAUCUAAAGCUAAAUAUUGGCGAGAGACCGAUAGCGAACAAGUACAGUGAUGGAAAGAUGAAAAGAACUUUGAAAAGAGAGUGAAAAAGUACGUGAAAUUGUUGAAAGGGAAGGGCUUGAGAUCAGACUUGGUAUUUUGCAUGCUGCUCUCUCGGGGGCGGCCGCUGCGGUUUACCGGGCCAGCAUCGGUUUGGAGCGGCAGGAUAAUGGCGGAGGAAUGUGGCACGGCUUCUGCUGUGUGUUAUAGCCUCUGACGAUGCUGCCAGCCUAGACCGAGGACUGCGGUUUUUAACCUAGGA
RNAcentral lists this ribosomal RNA (557 nucleotides) under Candida albicans. RNAcentral's name for it is "partial large subunit ribosomal RNA". It matches the Rfam family "Eukaryotic large subunit ribosomal RNA", at positions 52 to 585 of the family's 3401-position model. Lineage: Eukaryota; Fungi; Ascomycota; Pichiomycetes; Serinales; Debaryomycetaceae. The record is from RNAcentral.